Molecule: ribosomal RNA, 460 nt
Filed under: uncultured bacterium
Lineage: Bacteria
Description: partial 16S ribosomal RNA
Rfam family: Bacterial small subunit ribosomal RNA
Source: RNAcentral
CCUACGGGAGGCAGCAGUGAGGAAUAUUGGUCAAUGGACGCAAGCCUGAACCAGCCAUGCCGCGUGCAGGAUGACGGCCCUACGAGUUGUAAACUGCUUUUGUACGAGGGUAAACGCAGACACGUGUACCUUUCUGAAAGUACUGUAUGAAUAAGGAUCGGCUAACUCCGUGCCAGCAGCCGCGGUAAUACGGAGGAUCCAAGCGUUAUCCGGAUUUAUUGGGUUUAAAGGGAGCGUAGGUGGGCUGAUAAGUUAGAGGUGAAAUUCCGAGGCUCAACUGUGAAAUUGCCAUUGAUACUGGUCGGCUAGAGAGUAGUUGCGGUAGGCGGAAUGUGUGGUGUAGCGGUGAAAUGCUUAGAGAUCAUGCAGAACACCGAUUGCGAAGGCAGCUUACUAAACUGCUACUGACGUUGAGGCACGAAAGCGUGGGGAGCAAACAGGAUUAGAUACCCCAGUAGUC